GCCAGGUGUUGUGGUGUACGCCUGUAGUCCCAGCUACUUGGGAGGCUGAGGCAGGAGAAUCGCUUGAACCCAGGAGGCGGAGGUUGCAGUGAGCUGAGAUCACACCACUGAACUCCAGCCUGGGUGACAGAGCAAGACUCUGUCUCAA
This is an unclassified non-coding RNA of Pongo abelii (Sumatran orangutan), 148 nucleotides long. It matches the Rfam family "Metazoan signal recognition particle RNA". Rfam says of the family: The signal recognition particle (SRP) is a universally conserved ribonucleoprotein. NCBI's taxonomy places the organism in Eukaryota, Metazoa, Chordata, Mammalia, Primates, Hominidae. The record is from Ensembl.